ACGCGGAGUCUCACAGGCGUCGCGUGUUUUACAAAUUCUCAGAAUUGGUCACUUCCCCCCGCCUGCCGCGACCCCGCUUCUCAGUAGCCUCUGUUUUAGUGCUAAAACGAUCGGGGAACGAGGCGGACUUGUCGUCGGUUGUAAAACACUGCAAAAUGGCGGAAAAUCAGAGGAAACGUAAAUUGUCUGCCACAAAUUCACAAACAAGACAAGUCCUGCGGUUAAACAGUCCAUCGUUUGAAGAGGAGUUCAAUGCCCUCAUGCUAGCUUCAGACCAAUCAGACAGCGAAGGAGAGUCGGACCAUUCGAGAAGACAGUAAUGAGGAAGGUCAAAUCACUUGUGAAGAAGUUAGCAGCGACAGUUCUGAAGAC
Long non-coding RNA from Colias croceus (clouded yellow), 372 nucleotides. RefSeq lists it as uncharacterized. The transcript is spliced from 3 exons. The record is from RefSeq and is a predicted model, not a curated record. NCBI's taxonomy places the organism in Eukaryota, Metazoa, Arthropoda, Insecta, Lepidoptera, Pieridae.